Molecule: transfer RNA, 77 nt
Filed under: Cylindrospermopsis raciborskii CENA303
Lineage: Bacteria; Bacillati; Cyanobacteriota; Cyanophyceae; Nostocales; Aphanizomenonaceae
Description: tRNA-Ile
Rfam family: tRNA
About the family: Transfer RNA (tRNA) molecules are approximately 80 nucleotides in length. Their secondary structure includes four short double-helical elements and three loops (D, anti-codon, and T loops). Further hydrogen bonds mediate the characteristic L-shaped molecular structure. tRNAs have two regions of fundamental functional importance: the anti-codon, which is responsible for specific mRNA codon recognition, and the 3' end, to which the tRNAs corresponding amino acid is attached (by aminoacyl-tRNA synthetases). tRNAs cope with the degeneracy of the genetic code in two manners: having more than one tRNA (with a specific anti-codon) for a particular amino acid; and 'wobble' base-pairing, i.e. permitting non-standard base-pairing at the 3rd anti-codon position.
Source: RNAcentral
GGGCUAUUAGCUCAGGUGGUCAGAGCGCACCCCUGAUAAGGGUGAGGUCCCUGGUUCGAGUCCAGAAUGGCCCACUA